AUUUCCAUUGCAAAAUGAACUAUCACCAUCGCUUUUUGAUAUGAAGUACAGACAAGUCCGUAUUGGAAUAAUGGAAUACAAAACCGAUAAAUAUAAAGAUGGAUUGAAAUUCAUUCAGGAUAAAAAAUUUGGACAUCAACUGAAAACAGCUUUGACGUCCCUGCAGCGACUUUCGGAGACGAAAUUAUCUAAGUAGCCUAAAGUUUUGCACGUGUUCAACAUUAUUUUACUGUUUCAAUGUAUUCCUGUAUCAUUAUACUAUCAAAAUAUAUGGUAAAAUGGAAUUUGAAACUGAAAUGACUGAAAUGUUUUAUUUAUUUUCCAGUAUUUUUGAAAUAUUAUGCGCUACUUAGCAUAUUCCAUAAACAAAACUAUAAGAAAAUCAAGUUGUCUACAUUGCUAGCAUUAUUCACAAGCCAGUAAUAUCCUGGACAAGUCGUCUGAUCUUAAAACAUUUUUAAGUUCUAAAUAACCAUGUCAAAAAUACUGGAAAAUAAGGUACGGAUUUUUUACUCAGUUACUAGUGUACGUGUUUCGCGCGCGCGAGUAGUUUUUCAUAUAUUUAUUUCAAUGUAUAUUUUCGUGUCGUUUGCAUAUAUUUUUUUUGCUUUCGACCAAUCAAGUAAUCGGAAAAGAGGCUUUAUAUAUUUCACGCCUUUUUUAUUUAAGGAUCGUGCACUCAGGAAAUUACAUGAUCAUGGUUAUUAUCAGGCGGAUAAGCCAUCUCUGCAAUAAUUUAUGUAAAAAAUUGAUAGAACAAUGUCCUGAUGACGGUCAUGGUCACAUAAUUUUUACGGAUUAAUUAUUUUAUUAAAUUUAGUGGCUCAUCCAAAUAAUGGUGUUUUUGUAUCUUUAGAAUACGCCUGAUAUGAUUCCAACAAAAUACUUCGUUAUACAAUUCAUUGGAGAGCUUGAGGAAUACGGACUAGGAUACGUUCCAAUUCGUUGGGUAAAAUGUCGUGAUCCUGAGUAUAUACUUACUUUAUAUCCACCAAGGGGUGAAAUAAUACCGGAAAAUUAUAUUUAUAGUAACGAACGACCGUUAUCAUAUUGGAAGCCAUAUUUAGGAAUAAUAAUGUAUGAAACAGGUGAGGUCUUAUAAUAAUUUUAGCAAUUAGUGUUAAUUACUAACUUUUUGUGCCUUCUUAUUGUUAUUCUAUUUUUGUUAAAUUGCACUGCGAAGCUGACCCUGAGUAAAAAUCUUGCUUAGUCAAUGUCCGUAGUUGUUAUUGGCGUCGGGAGCAAAUCACAAUAAGCUGGUAGUACGGAAAAUAAUUGUGGUUGCUAUCCCAGUAGCUGUAGUUGAGGUUAUUAAAAGUUGGAGCUUAGAAAUAUCACCACCAACUUGGUAGACCUGAAAUAACCUCGCCCAGUAGUAGCGCCAACUACAGUCAUUAGUGUUUACUACAAAUUUAGUUGUUAGUACUGUUUAUGUAUCACUCUUUAGAUUUGUCCUAAAAGAAGAAUAUACUUCCUGUUUUCACCUUUCUUCAAUUAAUUAUGAAAAGCGCAUGCGCUUGCCUGUUUUCGAAACCCUAUUUUAUUAGAGUGGGAGUAAAAAUAUAAAACAGAUAGUAUUUUUAUCCUAUAAUUCAACCGACUCAUAGAUACUAAUUUAUGCUAAAGAUUUUUUCGAUAUUGUUAUUUUAUCUCAUUCUCACUCUUUGAUGGCCAUGCAACCGAGGUCACCUUAUUUAAAUAUUCAAAUAUUGACAUUUGCAUUUAUUUUUAAUUGUAUACAUUUGGAACUGAUAGUUAUAUAUACGAAUACAUAUUUAAUACCACUACGUCUUGUGUGGAGAACUAGUUGUUUACUCAGAUGUGAAGUAAUAUCAUUGGAGCAAUUUGCUGCUAGGAAAAAUAUAUUAUUGUUAGAAUUUUCUCUUUCAGAUAUUUUUGAAUACGGAAUAAUCUAUAUCUUUCACUACAAUUAUCUCCGUCGAACGAAUCUACGGUCAUUAUAUCCCGUUCACCAUUAAUGUCAGUCUUAGCUGUGAAUGUUGUUGAAACAAUGACGAAAAACCAUUAGAAAUUAACGUAUACGUUAAAUAUUUACUAAAUUUUAUAACUUAAAUUUGAGUCUUCAAUGUUCACUACUACGUCUUAAGUAUCAUUAAAUCAUUGACAUAUAAAUAUUAUUCGUUUCAUUUGACUGACCUUUACAUUAUUUGCAUGCUUUGUUCUGUUGUUACUGCAUAAUUAAACGAACAUUUUGUAUUAUAAAUACCAGUUCCAGUGAAGAAUAGUCACUCAGUUAUAAAUGCUGGAGGAAGAAUAUUGUUAAAGAAACAACGGUAUAAUUUUCAAAUAUUUUUCUGUUUGCUUUACUUUCUGUGCUACAUCUAAAUUACUAUUCAUAAAUAACGUUAGACUUCGUCAGAAAGGAAUAGAGGGACUGCAUCGGUCUCGUUCGAACACAGUGAUAAAAAUAGUUUAGUUUAAAUAGGAGCGAUAUGGAAAUGUCUACUCACUGGAAGCCCGAGUCCCUGACGAAGUGAACGUAUUAAGUUGCCAUAGUAUUGCGAGAUAACAGCCGAUACUACGUAAAUAUAAUAGUAGUAUGAAGAUAAUGUAAUCAAUCGUAUAAAGGAACAGGAACUAUUUAAUUCUUUUCCACUAACAAAUCAGUACUGAUGUUCAAGUGUAUGAAUGGUUUCUUGGACUAUUACAUCAGGACUAUUACGUCAGACAGAAACGAUGCAGACUUAUCAAUAUCACGUGGCGAAAUUCGCGGAAACACAUUAUGAUAAUCUAGAUAAAUAUGUAUGCGUGCCAG
Long non-coding RNA from Microplitis demolitor, 2776 nucleotides. RefSeq lists it as uncharacterized. NCBI's taxonomy places the organism in Eukaryota, Metazoa, Arthropoda, Insecta, Hymenoptera, Braconidae. The transcript has 3 exons. The record is from RefSeq and is a predicted model, not a curated record.